AUGAACGCUGGCGGCGUGCUUAACACAUGCAAGUCGAACGGAAAGGCCGAAGCUUGCUUCGGUACUCGAGUGGCGAACGGGUGAGUAACACGUGGGUGAUCUGCCCUGUACUUCGGGAUAAGCUUGGGAAACUGGGUCUAAUACCGGAUAUGACGAUCUCUUGGAUGGGGUUGUGGAAAGCUUUUGCGGUAUGGGAUGAGCUCGCGGCCUAUCAGCUUGUUGGUGGGGUAAUGGCCUACCAAGGCGUCGACGGGUAGCCGGCCUGAGAGGGUGUACGGCCACAUUGGGACUGAGAUACGGCCCAGACUCCUACGGGAGGCAGUAGUGGGGAAUAUUGCACAAUGGGCGCAAGCCUGAUGCAGCGACGCCGCGUGGGGGAUGACGGCCUUCGGGUUGUAAACUCCUUUCGCAAUCGACGAAGCCUUUUGGUGACGGUAGGUUGAGAAGGAGCACCGGCUAACUACGUG
RNAcentral lists this ribosomal RNA (467 nucleotides) under uncultured bacterium. RNAcentral's name for it is "partial 16S ribosomal RNA". It matches the Rfam family "Bacterial small subunit ribosomal RNA", at positions 29 to 507 of the family's 1533-position model. The record is from RNAcentral.